Molecule: ribosomal RNA, 385 nt
Filed under: uncultured bacterium
Lineage: Bacteria
Description: bacterial SSU rRNA
Rfam family: Bacterial small subunit ribosomal RNA
Source: RNAcentral
AUUGAACGCUGGCGGCAUGCUUUACACAUGCAAAUCGAACGGCAGCGCGGGCUUCGGCCUGGCGGCGAGUGGCGAACGGGUGAGUAAUAUAUCGGAACGUACCCAAGAGUGGGGAUAACGUAGCGAAAGUUACGCUAAUACCGCAUACGAUCUAAGGAUGAAAGCAGGGGAUCGCAAGACCUUGUGCUCCUGGAGCGGCCGAUAUCUGAUUAGCUAGUUGGUGAGGUAAAGGCUCACCAAGGCAACGAUCAGUAGCUGGUCUGAGAGGACGACCAGCCACACUGGAACUGAGACACGGUCCAGACUCCUACGGGAGGCAGCAGUGGGGAAUUUUGGACAAUGGGGGCAACCCUGAUCCAGCAAUGCCGCGUGAGUGAAGAAGGCC